GGGUCAGUAGGUUGGUCGUGCCACCGGUACGUACUGGUCUCACUGAUUCCUCCUUCCUGAAGAACCGUAAUGCCAUUAAUUUGGUGUUGCGGGGAAACAGGACUGUUACCUUGAAAAAAUUAGAGUAUUUAAAGCAAGCUAACGCUUGAAUACAUUAGCAUGGAAUAAUGAAAUAGGACGAUCGAUCCUAUUUUGUUGGUUUCUAGGAUUGACGUA
This 216-nucleotide ribosomal RNA is filed under the name Glomeromycotina sp. Its description in RNAcentral is "partial small subunit ribosomal RNA". The stretch from base 40 to 216 matches the Rfam family "Eukaryotic small subunit ribosomal RNA", at positions 686 to 864 of the family's 1831-position model. Lineage: Eukaryota; Fungi; Glomeromycota. The record is from RNAcentral.